GGGAGGGUGCCCGAGCGGCCAAAGGGAGCGGUCUGUAAAAUCGCCGGCGUAGCCUACGGAGGUUCGAAUCCUCCCCCUCCCACCA
This 85-nucleotide transfer RNA is filed under the name Actinomycetota bacterium. RNAcentral describes it as "Actinobacteria bacterium (sediment metagenome) tRNA-Tyr". It matches the Rfam family "tRNA". From Rfam's summary of the family: Transfer RNA (tRNA) molecules are approximately 80 nucleotides in length. Their secondary structure includes four short double-helical elements and three loops (D, anti-codon, and T loops). RNAcentral also lists the same sequence under 1 other name. Lineage: Bacteria; Bacillati; Actinomycetota. The record is from RNAcentral.